GAUGAACGCUGGCGGCGUGCCUAAUACAUGCAAGUCGAGCGAACGGACGAGAAGCUUGCUUCUCUGAUGUUAGCGGCGGACGGGUGAGUAACACGUGGAUAACCUACCUAUAAGACUGGGAUAACUUCGGGAAACCGGAGCUAAUACCGGAUAAUAUUUUGAACCGCAUGGUUCAAAAGUGAAAGACGGUCUUGCUGUCACUUAUAGAUGGAUCCGCGCUGCAUUAGCUAGUUGGUAAGGUAACGGCUUACCAAGGCAACGAUGCAUUGCCGACCUGAGAGGGUGAUCGGCCACACUGGAACUGAGCCACGGUCCAGACUCCUACGGGAGGCAGCAGUAGGGAAUCUUCCGCAAUGGGCGAAAGCCUGACGGAGCAACGCCGCGUGAGUGAUGAAGGUCUUCGGAUCGUAAAACUCUGUUAUUAGGGAAGAACAUAUGUGUAAGUAACUGUGCACAUCUUGACGGUACCUAAUCAGAAAGCCACGGCUAACUACGUG
This 497-nucleotide ribosomal RNA is filed under the name uncultured bacterium. RNAcentral describes it as "partial 16S ribosomal RNA". It matches the Rfam family "Bacterial small subunit ribosomal RNA", at positions 28 to 507 of the family's 1533-position model. The record is from RNAcentral.